Molecule: ribosomal RNA, 468 nt
Filed under: uncultured bacterium
Lineage: Bacteria
Description: partial 16S ribosomal RNA
Rfam family: Bacterial small subunit ribosomal RNA
Source: RNAcentral
GACGAACGCUGGCGGCGUGCUUAACACAUGCAAGUCGAACGGAAAGGCCCUGCUUUUGUGGGGUGCUCGAGUGGCGAACGGGUGAGUAACACGUGAGUAACCUGCCCUUGACUUUGGGAUAACUUCAGGAACCUGGGGCUAAUACCGGAUAGGAGCUCCUGCUGCAUGGUGGGGGUUGGAAAGUUUCGGCGGUUGGGGAUGGACUCGCGGCUUAUCAGCUUGUUGGUGGGGUAGUGGCUUACCAAGGCUUUGACGGGUAGCCGGCCUGUGAGGGUGACCGGCCACAUUGGGACUGAGAUACGGCCCAGACUCCUACGGGAGGCAGCAGUGGGGAAUAUUGCACAAUGGGCGGAAGCCUGAUGCAGCAACGCCGCGUGCGGGAUGACGGCCUUCGGGUUGUAAACCGCUUUCGCCUGUGACGAAGCGUGAGUGACGGUAAUGGGUAAAGAAGCACCGGCUAACUACGUG